This 6084-nucleotide long non-coding RNA is filed under the name Sus scrofa (pig). RNAcentral's name for it is "lncRNA (ENSSSCG00030042186.1)". Lineage: Eukaryota; Metazoa; Chordata; Mammalia; Artiodactyla; Suidae. The record is from RNAcentral.
UUUUUGGUUUUUUUUUUUUUUUAAAGCAACUGCAAAAAUUAGAGAAAAGAAAAGCUGUUUUGCAAAAGUUAGACCAUUCAUAAUCGACGCACUUUGGAUUGCACCCAACCAGUGAAGGCAAGAGGGAACACAAUUUGUAAGUUUUAGGGCUCUCUAUGAGGUCACUGCUAAGUCUAUUUUAAUAGCAGACCUCCAGAAGAUUAUUAAUUUUUCAACAAUAAGCCUGAAAAGAAAAGAAACACUAAUUUCAUUCUCCCUGGAUGCCUAUAAACAUUCAUUAUUUUAAGCCUUUCUGUUCUCCUUUUCUAUUAUACUACAUUUUUUUUUCAAGGCCAGAGACAGACCUACUCUUUCUAUAUGCCAAGAGCAAAGCUGAUUUGGGUGGUAGUGACAUUCACCCGAUGUCAUUCUCCUGUACUUCUUUGGAAUGGAGUUCAGGUGAAUGCCUCACAGCCAUGAAGUAUUAUAGAUUAACCAUUGUUUUCCAGUAGCCUGGCAUAGUUCCUGGAACAGUGAUUUCCACUAAAGUUUAUUUAAGGGAAAAUUUAAAAUAGAGGAAGAUACAUAAAGAUAUUAGGAGUUGUCACAGAAAUUUAACAACAGGAGAAUAGAAUAACAACAGGAGAAAAGUAAACUCAGCAUGUUAGCACAUGCUCACAUAUUGUAGUUAAAAUAAGAUUUAAAAAUAUUCCAACUGGAGAUGAAAUAGCUAAUAAGAGUUUAUUUGUCAUACACACAAGAAAAAAAAAAAGUAUGAAAGAGUCCAGGACCAGACUAGAAUAAUAGCUCCAUGUCCACCAGAGACAUAGACUCUUUCUGUGAUUGCUAGGAUGUAGCCUUCAUCAUCAUACUCCAAAAAGGCUGCUGGAGUUCCAGCUAUCACAGCCACAUUUUAAGCAUCAGUAUCAGAAAAGUGGAAGGGAAGAAAGAGACUUCCCAUGAUUUCUAUACAACACAUUUUCUUACUUUUCACUACCAAGAACUUAAUCACCUACUUCAGUCAAAUACAAAGAAGGCUAUUGCCCAGUCAUAGGCUUCAUAACAGAGGAGCUAUAUGUUUAGCAACAGGAUACUAAGGUUAAUAACUCUAAAUAUAAAAAUGUUUAGGAGCUGACAGAGGAUUCCAUGUGUGCAUGUAUUCUGAGAGGGGAGGAAGGAGGACAGAGGAGUGAGCUGGCUCUUAGAAACCGAAAGCUUAAAGUAGCAAGAGGAGCAUCCAGCUCAUCUGGGGCCUGCUCUGACAGAAACAGAUGCACUUAUGGACAAAGUAAGGCAGAAUAAAUUAAAGGUAAACAGACAAUUUUCAAAUCGUCACUGUUGGUAUUGCCCAGUCUGGUUUACCAUAGAGAAACAUAAAGAGAUUCAGGCUGGAAGUUCAAGUCUAAGUGAAGAUUCAGCUGACAGCCUGGUGUCCCUGUGUGCUAAAUCUCUUUGAACUUGACUAUGACAAAGAGGAUAAAAAAGAGAGAUACCGUGACUCUGGGGUCAGGGGGAGCCCAGUGCUGCCUCUCUCUCCUGCUGAUACCUAUUGUUUAUCAUAUAUACCCUCAUUCUAGAUCAGUUCUCUCCCAGGCAUUCUGUAGCCCUGAAUAGUGUGACACGUAUGUUUGUAAUGAUAAUUUUCAGCCAAUAGUUGAGGGGAGUCGAAGAAAACCAACAACCAAGGAAUAUAGUGCCAGGAUGAGAUUCCUAGACAUCUCUGCCCUCAAGGAAAAAAGCAGUGAGGCAGAGAGCAGCAGUGCUAUUGUGAGGAAAAUCAUUUACUGAACCCCUGCUGACCACAGCUCCAGUCCCAAAUUAAGAAUAGAUGAAAAUGAAAAUAGCUAAGUUGGUAGGUAAGGCAUGUUUGGGUUUGUUUGUUUUUGGUAUGAUGGAAGGGAGGUGAGAUAUUAACUAUGACUAUAUAUUUCAUCUCUAAUCUCUCCCUUUCUACAGUAAACACUGGGAAUAAUCCAAAGCACAAAAGGGUGUGGACCAGUAGCCUUUUAAAGGAAUUUUAUAAAAUGUAUCUAUUCUCAGUGCCCUUCAGCAGGUUUCUGAGGCCUCUGACUUCUUCAGGUACUUUGGCUCAGAAAAUUAUUAAUCUUGGUGCUUUUAGUUUAGUGCCCACCCCAUGGCUUAUGAUGCAUUGCCAGAGUUUUGAAUAACUCAAAGUUUUGUGUAAGACCCAUUCUCUCCUUUACCCCUGAGUUUUUCUUUUGUUGGAAAAAGAAAAUCAAGAAUUCUCUGAACAUAUUCUCUUCUGUCUAUGUAUUCCUGGAAGGAUUAUAAUAGUCAGGACUUCCACAUUUUUCUUCAUAACUCAAUCUCAACUUAUCUCCAAUGAAUCAAAGGGUGGUAGGGUUUUUAAGAGGUGGAAUAGGGUGCAAGGAUCAUAGGAUGUCUGGGGUGAGGUCAAGGGCCAAGGGGCAGAAAGAAGCCUGCCCAAACUCUAGUCAAGUUGAGGGAAACACUAAGUCCAUCUUGGUCAAUUCUUACCAUAACUCCACGGAGUCAUGCAUUAAUAUGCCCAUUUUAGGGUAGAAGACCUAAACAGACAAUGUCCAAAGAAGACACUAGAUGGCCAACACACACAUGAAAAGUUGCUCAAUAUCGCCAAUUAUCAUGUUAUAGGCUUCAAGUCCCCAUCAAGAAGAUCAAACCCAAAAGCCACUGACCAGGUUUCAUUGUAAUACCCCUUCCCCCACCUUGAGCAACCUGGGCUGCUCACUCCCUGUUAGGGAAGAAAUGUCACCCAUUCCUUACCUUGCCUCUAUAUAACCUGUUCCUCAUGCUAAUAAGGUAUCCAGCCUGAAAACAACCAGAGGAUCAAAAUGCACCCUCAUACAGAGAUCAAACAACACUGCCCUUAGAGAUGGUGCAGCAGGGCUGGGACAGGAAAAUGAGUGGGGCUCAGGGCAGGAAAAUUCAGGUCCCCAACUACAUUCACUGUAUGCGGAUAUAAGGAAAGACCCAGCUGUGACCAGAGCCAGUCUGUACUCCAGGGUGGCCUGCUCUCUCUCUGAGGGCAUAAAUAAAAUUUGCUAUACACUACUACCAUUUGAGUUCGAUUGUGAUCCCCACAUUUCCCAGCCGGAAUAGUCCCCCUGCCAGACUGCCCACACCUCCAAAUCCUUGCUGCAUGUGGGCAAGAAUUGAGAGAAAUCACACAGAGGGACCAGACAAUUAGAGAAAUGCAAACCAAAACCACAAUGAGUAUGCCCUCACACUGGUCACAAUGGCCGUCAUCAAAAAGACCACAAAUAAUAAAUGCUGGAGAGGGUGUGGAAAAAAGGGAACCCUCCUAAACUGUUGGUGGGAAUGUAAAUUGGUGCAGCCACUGUGGAAAACAGUGGAAAAGUUCCUUAAAAAACUGAAACUGUAGCUACCACAUAACCCACCAAUCCAUCCUGGGUGCAUAUCCAGAAGAGAUAAAACUAAUUCAAAAAGAUACAUGCACCUCAACGUACACAGUAGCACCAUUUAUAAUAGCUAAGACAUGGAAACAAUCCAAGUGCCCAUCAACAGAAGACCAGAAGACUGGUUUAAAAAGAAGUGUGUGUGUGUGUGUGUGUGUGUGUGUGUGUGUGUGUGUGUGUAAUGAAAUAUUACUCAGCCAUAAAAAAGAAUGAAAUAAUGCCAUUUGCAACAACAUGAAUAGGCCUAGAAAAUAUCAUACUAAGUGAAUUAAAUCAGAGAAAGACAAAUUUAUAUGAUAUCACUUCUAAGUGGUAGAAUUAAAAAAACUACAAACAGAUCUAUAUAUGAAAUUGAAAAAGACCGACAUAAAAAACAAAAUUAUGGUUACCAAAGGAGAAAGGGAUGGGGAGUAGGGAUAAAUUAGGGAUAUGAGAUUAACAAAGUGCUAUGCAUAAAAUAAACAUAACCUUUAAGGGAAGAGAAUUUGAAAAGGAAGUGAUAUAUGUAUAACUGAUUCACUUUGCUGUACCCCUGAAACUAACACAUUAUUGUAAGUAAACUAUACUCCAGUAAAAUUUGAUAAAAAAAGGAUUUACCAUAUAACACAGAGAAUAAUAUUCUAUAAUAGAAAAUAAUCUGAAUAUGUGUGUAUAUAUAUGUAUACACACUGAAUACUUUUUCUGUACACCUGAAACUAAUACAAUGUUGUAUAUCAAUUAUACUUCAAAUUUAAAAAAUACAUUUUAAAAAUUCCCAUUCUACAGAUUGGAAAUUAAAGUACAGAAAGGUUGAGUCUUGCCCUAAAAGCCUCACAGAGUCCGAAGCCAUCCCCAAGUUCAUAUCCCUCCCAGUGCUCCCUAUUUCCCACAUAUGCAAAUUAAUAUUUUUCUUACUGUGGUUUGGAACCAGGUCAGCCACAUUAGAUUCAAGGGCUGCCUUGCUGAUAGCAUCUUGGAAGGCUCAACCCAAAGAUAGUUUUAGGGAAAUAUGGAGGGGAAAGGAUGGGCAAAGCAGAGGUAAGGGUCAGGGUGGUCAGCUUUCAUUCUACCCCUCAUUUCACACAUAUGGUCUCCAAUGACAUGUUCAGAACUGGGUUGGCAAAAAUCUAUAGGCAGAAAGGAGUGAAACCCUGAGAAUAGGAAUAAAAUGGGAUGGACAAGUUCCAGGGACCCAUCAAAAAAGUGGCAGGAGUUGGAGUUCGUGUCAUGGCACAACGAAACAAUCUGACUAGGAUCCAUGAGGAUGCAGGUUUGAUUCCUGGCCUCAAUCAGUGGGUUAAGGAUCUGUCACUGUUGUGAGCUGUGGUGUAGAUCACAGACUCAGCUUGGAUCUUUCAUUGCCGUGGCUGGGGUGUAGGCCAGCAGCUAUAGUUCUGAUUCAACCCCUAGCUUGGGAACCUUCAUAUGCUGAGGUGUGGCCCUAAAAAGCCAACAACAACAACAAAAAAAAAGGUUGGGGGGGGGAGGCAAGAGUGAAAAACAGAAAGGCUAGAAGGAACAUAAGACAGGGACAUGUCCAACAUGACAGUCCUAGAAAUAUGGAAAGUGAAAUAGCUGGAAGAGGGAAGAAAAUUUAAGGGGAAAGAUGUGAAUUAAGAAUUACAAUAAGAAUUAAGGUAAACGGACACAUUUAUUACUCUGGAAAUAUUAGACCUAUACUAUAGAAUAAAAUUGCUGCUGCUGAUUUCCACUUUCAAAGUGAUGCUACUGAUACAGAAAUAAAUGAUUCUGGUCAAAGAGAAAAUUUCAAAGCGAGAAAAACAAAGGGAAUGAUUAGAACUCUUAAAGAACCACCAACUUCAAGGAUCAGGGAAGGAGAAGAAAACAAAAACAAUAAUGGAGAAUAAGGAACAGAAAAAAAAAAUAAUAAGAGAAAUAGACGUGUCCAGAAAGUAUAGUCAGAGAAACCACUAAGAAGUUUAUAAAAGACGCAGAUUCCAAAGAGUCAAAUAGCACAGUUAUAGAGAACUGUAUAAGAUGGAGGACUCUUCUGGUGAUUUUCCAGAGAGAUGUUUCAACAUAGUUAUGAGGAUGAAAAACAGAUUCAACAGAUUAAAGAAAGUGGUAGCUGUGGUGGCUGUAUAAGAAGAAAAGGCACUGGGUCACAGCUAUGGAGUAAAAAGAAGAUGGUUUGGAUGCUAGUUAGAAAAACAAAGAUCUUUUUGUUUUCCAGUAGCAAUGGAAAAUAUGUUGAGAACCUGAAGCAUUAACCCUGGAUCCAAUAUAUUUAUGGAGGCUUCUCUACAGAUUGCUAAGGUAUACACAAAAAGGAUAUGGUUCUCUAAGAAUAUUAUGGUUUUCUACCGUAAUGUGAUUGGUCCCAUCUCUGAUAUGCAGUGUGCAUGAUAGGGGAGCUCUCCCUCAGGGAUUUCCAACCUUCUGAUUAGUACAGAAGAGAGUUGCUCUCAGCCUGCUUGCCAAUCAAGGUCCUCUAGCUUGUUCAUCAUUUGAAGAGAUUCUAUUGUGGGCCUAGAGACAACUGCUGAUAACUUGUUUAUCUCGGUGUCUUAAUCAUUUCCGGCUGUUACAACAAGUUACCAUAGCCUGGGUGACUUAAACAGCAGACAUCUAUUUCUCACAUUCUGGAGACUGGAAAGUCCAAGAUCAAGAUGCCAGUAGAUCUGUUGCCCAGUGAGAGCCUGGUUCCCAACUGAAGACAGCCUUCUCCUCACUGUAUCCUUACUUG